UAAGUUGCAGGGUAUAGACCCGAAACCCGGUGAUCUAGCCAUGGGCAGGUUGAAGGUUGGGUAACACUAACUGGAGGACCGAACCGACUAAUGUUGAAAAAUUAGCGGAUGACCUGUGGCUGGGGGUGAAAGGCCAAUCAAACCGGGAGAUAGCUGGUUCUCCCCGAAAGCUAUUUAGGUAGCGCCUCGUGAAUUCAUCUCCGGGGGUAGAGCACUGUUUCGGCUAGGGGGCCAUCCCGGCUUACCAACCCGAUGCAAACUGCGAAUACCGGAGAAUGUUAUCACGGGAGACACACGGCGGGUGCUAACGUCCGUCGUGAAGAGGGAAACAACCCAGACCGCCAGCUAAGGUCCCAAAGUCAUGGUUAAGUGGGAAACGAUGUGGGAAGGCCCAGACAGCCAGGAUGUUGGCUUAGAAGCAGCCAUCAUUUAAAGAAAGCGUAAUAGCUCACUGGUCGAGUCGGCCUGCGCGGAAGAUGUAACGGGGCUAAACCAUGCACCGAAGCUGCGGCAGCGAACGUAUCACCCAAGACAACUUUACGGAGUUGACGAUUGACGGAGCGAAGCGACGUCAAAGCGUUCAUUAAAGUCGAGUUGGCUUAGGGAUACGUUCGUUGGGUAGGGGAGCGUUCUGUAAGCCUGUGAAGGUGUGUCGUGAGGCAUGCUGGAGGUAUCAGAAGUGCGAAUGCUGACAUAAGUAACGAUAAAGCGGGUGAAAAGCCCGCUCGCCGGAAGACCAAGGGUUCCUGUCCAACGUUAAUCGGGGCAGGGUGAGUCGACCCCUAAGGCGAGGCCGAAAGGCGUAGUCGAUGGGAAACGGGUUAAUAUUCCCGUACUUGGUGUUACUGCGAAGGGGGGACGGAGAAGGCUAUGUUGGCCGGGCGACGGUUGUCCCGGUUUAAGCGUGUAGGUGUGUGUUCCAGGUAAAUCCGGUUCACUUUAACACUGAGGCGUGACGACGAGGCACUACGGUGCUGAAGCAACAAAUGCCCUGCUUCCAGG
Molecule: ribosomal RNA, 1002 nt
Filed under: Salmonella enterica subsp. enterica serovar Typhimurium
Lineage: Bacteria; Pseudomonadati; Pseudomonadota; Gammaproteobacteria; Enterobacterales; Enterobacteriaceae
Description: partial 23S ribosomal RNA
Rfam family: Bacterial large subunit ribosomal RNA
Source: RNAcentral